CCAGUUGUUUGGUGUCUGGUCAGUGCAAACCUGGGCUGUGGGGCUUGAUCAGUGGAGACCUGGUCAGCUGGGGCUUAGUGCUGGUCUGGUCAGCAUGGGCUGGGGCACUGGUGACCAGGUCAAGGGGUGCUACUCAGUGCAGGACUGGGCACAUGGGACCUAGUCAGCAGACCCUGGUGGGCGUGUCCUCAUCAGUGAGGCCCUUGUCAGUGGGGCCCUGGUCAGGGCAGCCUUGUCGGCGGGACCUAAUCUGUAGUGUCCUGGUCAGAGAGGACUUGGUCCGUGGUGACUUUUGUAGCACCGGGCUACAGGGUGACCUGGUCAGCGGGAAUCUCAGCAUUUGGUGCCAGUUCAGUGGGGUCUACUCACUAGGGUCCCAGUCAGGGGCAUCUGGUGACAUAAGGCCUCAUUAUUAGGGGCCUGAUCAGUGGCAACCUGUUCCCUGGAGGCCUGGUCAGUGGGGCCUCAUCUUUGGGCCAGGGAAUGAGUUCAUGAUCAGUGGAACCUGAUCAGUGAGGCCUUGUCAAUAAUGACCUAGUCAGUGAGGACUUGUCAGUAAGGACUUGGUCCGUGAAGCCUUGUCAGUGAGGCCUUGUCAGUAAGGUCCUGGUCGGUGGAGUCCUUGUCAUUGUGUGCCUGGCAGUGGGGGCCUUGUGAGUGGGGCCUGGUCAUGAGGGUCUAAUCAGUGAGGGUGUCAUCAGGGAGGACCUGAUGUGCGGGGUCUGGUCAGCAGGGACCUGGUCAAUGUGGGCUGCUGAGCACUGCUUGGAUAAGCCAGGUGCAAUGUGCAUUAUUGAAGGCCCUGUGGACAGCUGGGAUAGCCCAGUGAUGCCCAAGGGCCUAGUCAAAAGUGGACAAAGCACGUAUUUGGAUGGACCUGGGAGAUCCUGCUCAGAGAUUCUGACAGGACAAAGGUAAAGGAAGGGCCAGAGUGGCUGGAGAGAUGGUCACAGUCUAUGGGCUGCACAGGAUGGAGGAGGCCAGGGAAAAGGCAGGGUGGGCAGUUGGGGUUCAGGGAGAGGCAGGUGCAUGCUGGGAGGUCAGACCCUGUGAAGGCUUUGGGGGCGUCAGGUUGGGUAGGCUCCAGGCACUCUCACUCACAUAGGAUUCCAGAACACUGCUACAAGGCUCUGAGUGUUUGUCCCUCACAUAGGAUUCCAGAACACUGCUGCCAUUGUCUGAAUGUUUGUCCUCCACAUAGGAUUCCAGAAGUCUGCUGCUGGGGUCUGAAUGUUUGUCCCCCAUCUAGGAUUCCAGAACACUGCUGUGAGGGUCUGAAUGUAUGUCCCUCACAUAUGAUUCUAGAAUAUUGAUGCUAGGGUCUGUAUGUUUGCCCUUAACAUAUGAUUUCAAAACACUGCUCCUGGAUUCUGAAUGUUUGUCCUUCUCAUAGGAAUACAGAACACUGCUGCUGGAGUCUGAAUGUUUGUCACUCACAUAGAAUUCCAGAACACUGCUGCGAGGAUCUGAAUGUUUGACCCUCAAAUGGGAUUCCAGAACACUGCUGCGAGGGUCUAAAUGUCUGUCCCUCACAUAGGUUUCCAGCACAAUGUUACGAGGUUCUGAAUGUUUGUCCCUAACAUAGGAUUCCAGAGCACUCCUGCUGUGCUCUGAAUGCUUCUCCCUCACAUAGGAUUCCAGAACACUGCUAUGAGGGUCUGAAUGCUUAUACCUCCUAUAGGAUUCCAGAACACUCCUGCUGUGCUCUGAAUGUUUGUUCCUCACAUAGGAUUCCAGAACACUCCUGCCGUGGUCUGAAUGUUUGUCCCUCACAUAGGAUUCCAGAACAUUCAUGCUGGGGUCUCAAUGUUUCCCUUAACAUAGGAUUUCAGAACACUGCUCUUGGGGUCUGAAUGUUUGUCCCUCACAUAGGAUUACAGAACACUGCUGCUGGAGUCUGAAUGUUUGUCAGUCACAUAGAAUUCCAGAACACUGCUAUGAGGGUGUGAAUAUUUUUCCCUCACCUAGUAUUCCAGAACACUGUUGCAAGGGUCUGCAUGUUGGUCCGUCAUAUAGGAUUCCAGAACACUGCUGCUGUGGUCUGAAUGUUUGUCCCUCACAUAAAAUUCUGGAACACUGCUACAAGGGUCUGAAUGUUUGUCCUUCACAUACCAUUCCAGAACACUGCUGCCGUGGUCUGAAUGUAUGUCCCUCACAUAGGAUUCCAGAACACUGCUACUAGGUUCUGAAUGUUUUUCCCACACCUAGGAUUCCAGAACACUUCUGCUGGUGUCUGAAUGGUUGUCCCUCACAUAUGAUUCCAGGACACUGCUAUGAGAGUCUUAAUGUUUGUCCUUCACAUAGAAUUCCAGAACACUGCUCCCGUGGUCUGAAUGUUUGUCCCUCACAUAGCAUUGCAGAACACUGCUACAAGGGUUUGAAAGUUUGUCCCUCACAUAGGAUUCCACAACACUACUGCUGGGGUCUGAAUGUUUGGCCCUCACAUAGGAUUCUAGAACACUCCAGCUGGCUUCUGAGUGUUUGUCCCUCACAUAGGAUUCCUGAAGACUGCUGCUGUCGCUAUAGUCGUUGAGAGUGUCUGAAUGUUUGACCUUCACCAAACACCAAAUAUCCUGGCCCUUUAGUCUUGUACUUUCCAGCCUCCAGGUCUGUGAACAAUAAUCUCUGUUGUUUAUGAAUUACUCAGUCUGAAGUAUUUUGUUAUAGUAGCCUAAAGAGACUAAGAGAGCAUCACCUGCCCUGUCACCUCAUCACCGCAUUACUGAAGCUAUACUAACAGCAGUCACUUUUAGUGGGUACUUCAUGCAUCAG
Molecule: long non-coding RNA, 2772 nt
Filed under: Homo sapiens (human)
Lineage: Eukaryota; Metazoa; Chordata; Mammalia; Primates; Hominidae
Description: long non-coding RNA NONHSAT135978
Source: RNAcentral